CGCCUAACACAUGCAAGUCGAACGAAGUAGCAAUACUUAGUGGCAGACGGGUGAGUAACAUGUGGGUAUCUACCCUUUGGCCUGGAAUAACACGAGGAAACUUGUGCUAAUACCGGAUAAGUCUUUACGGAGAAAGCUUUAUGCACCAUUGGAUGAGCCCGCACUUGAUUAGUUUGUUGGUAGGGUAAUGGCCUACCGAGACUAUGAUCAAUAGCUGAUUUGAGAGGAUGAUCAGCCACAUUGGGACUGAGACACGGCCCAAACUCCUACGGGAGGCAGCAGUGGGGAAUCUUGCACAAUGGAGGAAACUCUGAUGCAGCGAUGCCGCGUGAGUGAAGAAGGCCUUUGGGUUGUAAAGCUCUUUCGUCGGGGAAGAAAAUGACUGUACCCGAAUAAGAAGGUCCGGCUAACUUCGUGCCAGCAGCCGCGGUAAUACGAAGGGACCUAGCGUAGUUCGGAAUUACUGGGCUUAAAGAGUUCGUAGGUGGUUGAAAAAGUUGGUGGUGAAAUCCCAGAGCUUAACUCUGGAACUGCCAUCAAAACUUUUCAGCUAGAGUAUGAUAGAGGAAGGCAGAAUUUCUAG
RNAcentral lists this ribosomal RNA (583 nucleotides) under uncultured Alphaproteobacteria bacterium. Its description in RNAcentral is "bacterial SSU rRNA". It matches the Rfam family "Bacterial small subunit ribosomal RNA", at positions 45 to 673 of the family's 1533-position model. The record is from RNAcentral. Lineage: Bacteria; Pseudomonadati; Pseudomonadota; Alphaproteobacteria.